Long non-coding RNA from Pyrus x bretschneideri (Chinese white pear), 369 nucleotides. RefSeq lists it as uncharacterized. Lineage: Eukaryota; Viridiplantae; Streptophyta; Magnoliopsida; Rosales; Rosaceae. The record is from RefSeq and is a predicted model, not a curated record. The transcript has 2 exons.
GGGUUUCCACUCUCAGUGCAAGUUCUCGGUGUUCUUCGAAGCUCAAGGCUGCAGAUCUUCUCAGGCCGAUGCCAUAUGUGAGUAGUUAAAGAUUGAAAGAAUAUAAGGCCGAAACCAUUCUUUCUGUAUCAAGGCUUGAAGAUUUUCUGCAUUUCAAAGGCCGAAGCUAAAGUUGCAAGGAACAUUUGAAGAUUUGUUGAUCUUUCUGGGUUCUUUUACAUUUCAUAAGGUCGAAGCCGAAGUGUAGUUCCGAAGUUUGUUUGAAGGAAUUUUUGAGAAAUUUCUUGAUGUGUAAAACAUUUUCUUGGUGUUUAACAAUGUCUGAGUGAAAGUUCUAAGCUAUGGAUAUCGAUCCCAGUUUCCUUUUGA